AGGUAUUGCCGAGAUCGUUCGCGACCCGGUCGAGGAACUCGACCAUGUUGUCGGAUCGGCCGUCGAAGAUCGCU
RNAcentral lists this small RNA (74 nucleotides) under Sinorhizobium meliloti 2011. Its description in RNAcentral is "putative ncRNA". Lineage: Bacteria; Pseudomonadati; Pseudomonadota; Alphaproteobacteria; Hyphomicrobiales; Rhizobiaceae. The record is from RNAcentral.